CAUUACAGAGUUCAUGCCCUUGCGGGUAGAUCUCCCACCCUUGAAUACCUAUACCUCUGUUGCUUUGGCGGGCCGCCUCGGCUACUGGCUCUGGCUAGUAAGCGCCCGCCAAAGAACCCCCAAACUCUGAAUGUUAGUGUCGUCUGAGUACUAUAUAAUAGUUAAAACUUUCAACAACGGAUCUCUUGGUUCUGGCAUCGAUGAAGAACGCAGCGAAAUGCGAUAAGUAAUGUGAAUUGCAGAAUUCAGUGAAUCAUCGAAUCUUUGAACGCACAUUGCGCCCCUUGGUACUCCGAGGGGCAUGCCCGUUCGAGCGUCAUUAUAACCCCUCAAGCUCAGCUUGGUGUUGGGGCCUGCUGUUACCGGCAGCCCUUAAAAUCAGUGGCGGUGCCACCUGGCUCUAAGCGUAGUAAUACUUUUCGCUACAGGGUCCCGGUGGAUGCCUGCCAUCAACCCCUAAUUUUCUAUGGUUGACCUCGGAUCGGGUAGGGAUACCC
This 497-nucleotide ribosomal RNA is filed under the name uncultured Ascomycota. RNAcentral's name for it is "eukaryotic LSU rRNA". The stretch from base 166 to 319 matches the Rfam family "5.8S ribosomal RNA". Lineage: Eukaryota; Fungi; Ascomycota. The record is from RNAcentral.